Myotis brandtii (Brandt's bat) is the source of this 5546-nucleotide RNA transcript. It is a transcript of the gene named 1-acylglycerol-3-phosphate O-acyltransferase 3, with no coding region annotated. Lineage: Eukaryota; Metazoa; Chordata; Mammalia; Chiroptera; Vespertilionidae. The record is from RefSeq and is a predicted model, not a curated record. The transcript is spliced from 10 exons.
GAUGCCCAGAGCCCUGCUCAGAAAUGCAGGCACGGGAGGCCCCUCGCAGCUCUGCGGCCCACAGAUGGUUUUACGCUCUGGAGGUCCAUGCUGAGUGGGCCUGGGCUGUCCCUGCGUCCUGCUGGCUGAGUCCUGGGAGGGACAGAGGACGGCCGUUCUCAGUGAAGGACCUUGCUCUCGCUACUGAGGAGUGACCAUGGGCCUGCUCGCCUACCUGAAGACCCAGUUCGUCCUGCACCUCCUCAUCGGGUUCGUCUUUGUGGUGAGCGGGCUGGUCAUCAACUUCAUCCAGCUCUGCACCCUCGUCCUCUGGCCCCUGAACAAGCAGCUGUACCGCCGGCUGAACUGCCGCCUCGCCUACUCGCUCUGGAGCCAGCUGGUCAUGCUGCUGGAGUGGUGGUCCUGCACGCAGUGCACGCUCUUCUCCGACCAGGCCACCAUAGACCGCUUAGGGAAGGAGCACGCCAUCAUCAUCCUCAACCACAACUUCGAGAUCGACUUCCUGUGCGGGUGGACCAUGUGUGAGCGGUUCGGGGUCCUGGGGAGCUCCAAGGUCCUGGCCAAGAGGGAGCUGCUGUGCGUGCCCCUCAUCGGCUGGACGUGGUACUUCCUGGAGAUCGUGUUCUGCAAGAGGAAAUGGGAAGAGGACCGGGACACCGUCAUCGCGGGGCUGAGGUGCCUGGCCAACUACCCUGAGUACAUGUGGUUUCUCCUGUACUGUGAGGGCACGCGCUUCACAGAGAAGAAACACCGCGUCAGCAUGGAGGUGGCCGCCUCCAAGGGGCUGCCCCCCCUCAAGCACCACCUGCUGCCUCGCACCAAGGGCUUCACCACCGCGGUCCAGUGCCUGCGCGGGACAGUCGCAGCCAUCUAUGAUGUCACUCUGAAUUUCCGGGGAAACAAGAACCCGUCUUUGCUGGGGAUCCUCUACGGGAAGAAGUACGAGGCGGAUAUGUGUUUGAGGAGGUUCCCUCUGGAAGAGAUCCCGCAGGAUGAGAAGGAAGCGGCCCAGUGGCUCCAUAAGCUGUACCAGGAGAAGGAUGCUCUGCAGGAGACGUACAACCAGAAGGGCGUGUUUCCAGGGGAGCCCUUCAGACCUGCCCGCCGGCCGUGGACGCUCCUGAAUUUCCUCUUCUGGGCCACGGUUCUCCUGUCUCCUCUGUUCCGCUUUGUCUUGGGCGUCUUUGCAAGCGGCUCUCCCCUCCUGAUCCUCACGUUCCUGGGCUUUGUCGGGGCAGCUUCCUUUGGAGUCCGCCGACUAAUAGGAGUAACUGAAAUAGAAAAAGGCUCCAGCUACGGGAACCAAGAAUUUAAGAAAAAGGAAUAAUUAAUGGCUGUGAUUGAACACACUUAAUUUGAUGGUGGUGUCCGAUUAACUCAAUUAAAAACAGAACCACACACACAGAGGAAAAAAAGACACUUAGAAACUAUUUUCUUAUUAACUGGUGACUAAUAUUAACCAAUAAACUUGAGCCAAGAGUAAAGAAAUCAGAAAGCCUGCCGGAUGGAGACUUCGCAGCGCACCGCAGGGCCGCCUGUCGCUGUGGGAGACCGGGGCGCGGAGGGCAGCGUCUGCUCUGGGCGGUGGCCCCUGGGGUCCGGGAUUCACCCAGCGCCAUCGCUCAAGGACUCUGCUGGCCAGAGAGAGCCUCUGAUGCUUUCUCUUCUUAAACUUGGGUCCCUUUUUUGUUUUUACCUGUGAUUUCGAGAACUCACCCUGGCCCCUCGCCGCUCCCCUGCACCCCCAGCAAACUCUCUUCAGGACUCUUCCCCAGGCCUCCUGGGUGCAGAUGUCACCGCAUCUCUGGUCCCCAAGGCAACCAGCAUCUUGGCUUCCGGACAGUAGGGUGGGGAGCGGGUGGGGGUGGGGCACUGUGGAGAGAAUGCUCUGGGUGAGAAGCACACCCUGGGUGUCGGAUGGAUGGAGCCCGUGCAGGGCUGGCAGCUGGCAGCAGGCAGAGGCUGUGCCGUGUCCUCCCUAAGCCUGGGUGUGAGUGCUCGAGGGUGCGGUGAAUGUAGCUCCUCAGCCCCUCCUCCCUGUGGCCCUGACUGCAGUCCCUCCAUUGGGUGCUGGGAGGGGCCUCACUGGGCCAGUGCCUCUCCCCGCAGCCCCAGAACCUGUAAUGCUUCUUAAGAAGCAGUGUCACCACCCAGCCUGUCUUCUGAGAUGGUUGGAGACUGUUAACACAGGGCUGUUGGCCUCUAGAGAUGCUAUUUUCACAGUUGAUCUGUUGGUGGCUCUCAAGUCCCUGAUGAAAAUGAGCUGUGGCGAGCCUUCCCCCGUCCUGCCACCCUCCCUGCCCUGAGCAGGCACACGUGUCCGGCCGAGGCCUGCUUCUGACCAGGUGGGUGGCCUCCUGGCCUGGUGGUGCCCACACCCCCGGGUGCCCGGUGGAGUGUCUCCCCAGGUCCCGACAGCCUGUGCUUGACUCAUGUCCUCUCAGCAUCCUUUGCAGGCUUGGCCCUGGAGGGAGGUUGGUCCCGCAGAUGGAGCCUGGCUGGCUGGAGGCUGCUGGGCAGACAGAGUGGGAACCAGGGCUCCUCCUGCCUCCCGUGGCUCCGCUCCGCCAUCCCACCGCACACGGCUGCACUGGACUUUCUUCUUAAACCUUCAAGUUGGUUUUUUUAAAGUCACAUUUCCCGCCUCUUUUUUUAGCAAGGGAAAGAAAACUAAUGGGUAUUAUCUCUGACACACUGUAACCAGCAUUCCGAAUAGAGGCAGGUUGGAUUUUCUAGAAAAAUGGAGGAAAGAGACAUAAAAGCAAUUAGAAACUAAGUUGAAAGAACAAUAAUGUACUGGCCCUAAGUGUGUUUGGGGAAGCUUUGUCAGGCUGGCGCGAAGGCGCGUAACAGCGAUGCUCCUGAGGUUUAGGUUGGUGGCGUGACGGCAGGUGCCGAGGACUGCGCCCCAGUUCUGUGCUGCUCGUGUCCCAGGGCGCGUGGAUGCAACUCCUUGUGGGGCUGAAGGGUUAAAACAAAACAGUUCAAAAUGCUUUUGUUCAGAACUAAGCCUGCUUGCCUCUGUCCUGAAGCACACCCCCCCCCACUCCCUCAGGGUGAGCGGCCACCGUCGAGUUGAUUUGUCUUCAUACCGUGCUGCUCAUCUGUCUUCAUGCGUGUUCACCUGUGUCAGUUGCUGAGUCACGAAUGCCUAGAUCAGCUUAAAGGAAACCAGAGGGAGGGUCCUCCUGGACGGAGCCCCACCGGGAAGAUGCAGAUUUAGAUCUUCUCCCACUUAGUUAAUAGUCCUGGUUUCCCAGAUAAGUCCCCUCCCCCUGAAAUCAACUCAUCAUGUGCUGCGAAUUCUCCAUCGAGUCAAUGAAUGAGCUGUGCAGACUCCUGUGAAUGGAGCCUGAGACCGGGGUGUGGGUUUCCAGUCUCAGUGAUUCCUUCCGAUUUAACAUGGAUCAGCUCUUGCAUUGAACACUGAGCCCUUUGGGAGCAAUAAAAACUACACCAGGAAUGUGCAGACUUUUUUUUUUUUUUUUUUUUUUUGAGAGAGAGAGAGAGUGGAUUUUGCUUUUCAUUCACUUCAUAAGGAAAGGGGGAGGGGAGCUCUUUUAAAUUUUUACCUUAAAUUAAUAAAUUGCAGAAUUGUGCUUUUCUUUAUUCUUUGCCUUUACACCCACUACUGAGUUCCAUCUGUUGCUGAUGCUGCCAUCACAUUCAGGCUGAGCGUGGGACAGGCCAUGCUGGUUGCAGUCGGUUGUGCUCUCUAGGCGUAAAGGGCGGGUCCUGGGCCAGUCGAGGCCCGGAGGUGUUUGCUGCCUCUCCCUGCUGGGGGAAGUGUUUGCUGACUCUCUCUGGGGUUGGCUCUGCCACUUGCUCUGUGCCUGGGAACCAGCCCCCUGCUCCUGCUGGGGGGUCGCUGGCUGCGUGUUUCUCAGCUCAGGCCAAGGCCCCACUCUCAGGUGCGAGUCUCCAAGUCCGGUGUCAUCUUCCCCCUCCGUCUCCUGCCCCUGCCCAGUCCGUGGAGUUUGGCCUGUGGGCCUUCCCCAGGUGUCUAGCUGGGGGAGGCCGCAGUUCUUUGGGCCCCUCUGGGUGACUGUGAUAUUUCCAUGGUGACUUUGUAGCAGCUGCCGGGGGCCUCUCUGGCUUCCCUCUCUGGGGUCCUUGUGACAGCACCGUGAGCAGUGACAGUGGGGAGCAGCACGGCUGGUCAGAGGGAGAGCAGGGCAUCGAUUUUGAAUGCUCGUUUUUCAUAUGCCCCCCUUUUCUCCAAACCUGGUGGAGGGUUUGACAUAGCUACCCAUUGACAAGCAUUUCCGCCAGAGAAAGCAGAGGGACAGGCCGUCCCCUGCUUGGUGACAGCCCAUUGGAGGGGCCCCGUCCUCAAGAAGCACAGGAUCCGUGUGAUGAGCUCUGAAUGUAGAAACCACUAAGCCAUCACGAAGCAACAGCGGACACUGCACUUUUUUGUACAGAAACAGUGCAGGUGCGGUCACUGAUCAAGUCUGACUCUACCUUGUCUGUCCCGGUCCCUGGUGUGCGGAGGCAGGAGGACCUCCUUACACUAAAUGAUGGAGCAUGAUUUGGUCUGAAGGAAAGCGGUGGCUGCAGUCACGUGCAGUGCAGGGCUGUCUGGAGGCCGUCCCACACCCACGUGACUACGGUUGUGUCAGGUUUGGGGUGGAGGAGUCACUCUGCAUGUCGCUUUGUCUCUGCCCGAGACACCUAUAGGAUAAGCCAAAUAGAAUCUCUUCAGCCCGGCUGAUAUUCAGCUGAAUUGUUCAACCCUGAGCGUGAGCUCCUGCUGCAAACUUCUCACCAGUAGUGCAUGCUUCCCCCAGCAUGCAACACUUAGCGUCCAAUGGUGUGACGUGGCUUCCAGCCCUCCUGCCGUCUACCGAGGCUGAGGGUUGAAACAGUGGGCCUGCCGUGCCCGCCUGCCUUCUCUCUGGAGGCAGCACGUCCCUGGCCCACGUGCCUGCCCCUUUGUAUAGUGAGUUAGCUCCCAAAGCAAGGGCCAGCCUCUCCGAACGCCCAGGCCUGGGUGCUGGGUGCGCCUCCCUUCCCCCUUCCCCACUCCUGGCCAUACCACCCACUUGCACUGGGCCAGGCCAGGUGCAUGCAGACAUUCGGGUUUCACAUUCUUGCCUAUCAGGGCCAGGACACAAAAACACAGGGACAGCUCUUGGGUAGAUGUCACAUUGUGUUCUGUGUGAUCGAGGGGUGGACACACGUGAGUUACGUGGCAGCACAAGCAUUUGCCCGCUAGCUGAUUCAGUGAAAACGGUGGCCUUCUCACACACCACUCGGGGAAUUAAAGGACAAGACCACUUUCAGGGAGUCCGGGAAAUUCCCAGAGACGCUGACACCAGUCGGCCUCAGUGGCAGCCAGGCAUUCUUUUUCAGAGACAAUUGGAUCGCUUUAAAUUUUUAAGCUUUGUAAUGGCAAGUUCACCUGGAAUUUCCUUUUCUCGUAAACUUUCCUUUCUUAACCUUUUUGUUGCAUAAGCACUUGGACAGAAGUCAAAACUGUGAAUGAGAUACUGAAAUGCACUAAAUUGUAUUAAAUUAAACUGGAGUUACUUGAUAACAAUGAA